GAUGAACGCUGGCGGCGUGCCUAAUACAUGCAAGUCGAGCGAACAGACGAGGGGCUUGCUCCUCUGACGUUAGCGGCGGACGGGUGAGUAACACGUGGAUAACCUACCUAUAAGACUGGGAUAACUUCGGGAAACCGGAGCUAAUACCGGAUAAUAUAUUGAACCGCAUGGUUCAAUAGUGAAAGACGGUUUUGCUGUCACUUAUAGAUGGAUCCGCGCCGCAUUAGCUAGUUGGUAAGGUAACGGCUUACCAAGGCGACGAUGCGUAGCCGACCUGAGAGGGUGAUCGGCCACACUGGAGCUGAGACACGGUCCAGACUCCUACGGGAGGCAGCAGUAGGGAAUCUUCCGCAAUGGGCGAAAGCCUGACGGAGCAACGCCGCGUGAGUGAUGAAGGUCUUCGGAUCGUAAAACUCUGUUAUUAGGGAAGAACAAAUGUGUAAGUAACUAUGCACGUCUUGACGGUACCUAAUCAGAAAGCCACGGCUAACUACGUG
RNAcentral lists this ribosomal RNA (497 nucleotides) under uncultured bacterium. RNAcentral's name for it is "partial 16S ribosomal RNA". It matches the Rfam family "Bacterial small subunit ribosomal RNA", at positions 28 to 507 of the family's 1533-position model. The record is from RNAcentral.